GACGAAACGCGUGGCGGCGUGGAUUAGGCAUGCAAGUCGAACGGUAUCAUCCUUUCGGGGGUGAGAGAGUGGCGAACUGGUGAGUAACACGUAGGUUAUCUACCCUCAAGACGGGGACAACCCAGGGAAACUUGGGCUAAUACCGGAUGUGAGCAACUUUUAGUUGUUUGAAAGGUGGCGUAAGCUGUCGCUUGGGGAUGAGCCUGCGUCCUAUUAGUUAGUUGGUGAGGUAACGGCUCACCUAGGCAAUGAUAGGUAGGCGGCCUUAACGGGUGGUCGCCCACACUGGGAUUGAGAUACGGCCCAGACUCCUACGGGAGGCAGCAGUCGAGAAUAGUCUACAAUGGUCGGAAGACUGAUAGUGCGACGCCGCGUGAACGAUGAAUCCCUUCGGGGUGUAAAGUUCUUUUAUAUGUGAGCAGUGCUUCUUAUAUUAACAGUAUGGGGAGAGAGAUAUUAGCAUAUGAAUAAGCAACGGCUAACUCCGUG
RNAcentral lists this ribosomal RNA (489 nucleotides) under uncultured bacterium. RNAcentral's name for it is "bacterial SSU rRNA". It matches the Rfam family "Bacterial small subunit ribosomal RNA", at positions 37 to 507 of the family's 1533-position model. The record is from RNAcentral.